Molecule: RNA transcript, 1728 nt
Organism: Zea mays
Lineage: Eukaryota; Viridiplantae; Streptophyta; Magnoliopsida; Poales; Poaceae
Exons: 3
Source: RefSeq, marked validated
CGCCUCGCGACGCCAUUUUCCCCCGGCGAUGCCUCCUCCUCCUCCUCCUCCUCCGCCUCCUUCCACCGACUCGCACGCGGCGCUGCUGCACUCGAUCAGCACCCUCGCUUCAUACAGCGAUACCCUCGCCGACUUCCUAGAUCAGUGGAACUCCGUCAUCCUCGACGUCGCCUCCAUCGGCGCCACGUUCGCUGCCCUAUUCCCGGGCCCCGGUUCCGACCCUAAACCCUACCAUCCCGCGCCGGAGCCGGACAGGGAGCCCGAGCCCCCUCUCGCGCCACAGCCUGAACCCGGACCCAAUGCCGCGCCGGCGCCCGAGCCGCGGUGGGAGCGGGAGCCCAGUCCCUCCCCGGGCCCCGGUUCCGACCCUAAACCCUACCUCCCCGCCCCCGCGCCGGAGCCGGACAGGGAACCCGAGCCCACUCUCGCACCGCCACAGUCUGAACCCGGACUCAAUGCCGCGGCGGCGCCAGAGCCGCGGUGGGAGCGGGAGCCCAGUCCCUCCCCGGAGCCCGCACCCGCGCCCAACCCCGACCGCGAGCGCAAGGACGGCGGAGGCGCAGGCGCCGCAUCCGCGGCGGACCUCGAGCACAGGUGCAAGCAGAUGAACUGCGGGGGCGUCCGCCGCUUCGUCAUCGUCCACUUGCGGGACGGCGGCGGCGAGUGGCUGCGCCAGGUGGUGCCGGGCGCGCUGCGGCGCGCCCCGGACCCCGCCGCGCUCGUUUUCCACGCCGUCGGCCGCUACUACAUCCGCGCCGAGAGCCCCGACGCGGAGGCCGCGUGCGCGCUCCUCCUCGAGCUGUACGUGCGCGCCGGGUGCCCGCGCCUCCGCCGGGGCCGGGGGAGCGAGGCGGCGGAGCUGCUGCUGCGGCAGGAGGCCCGCGAGGCCGCGCUCACGUGGCGCAGCCGCCUCCUGCGCGUCAGCGGCGCGGUCGGCGACGCGCCCGGCGCCGCGGGCGCCCGCGGCCUCGCUCUCUUCAUGGCUGCCUUCGGCGUGCCCGCCGAGUUCCCGGCGCAGGAGCUCUGCGACCUUGUCGACGCUGCCCAAGCCUCGGCCUGCGUCCAGGUGCUCAAGGCCUCCAAACUCUUCGCCAAGAAGAUGCGGGAUGUCGUUAUCGAAAUGAUAAACAAGGCCAUGUACCUUCAGGCGAUGCGCAUCAUCCUCGUAUUCGAAUUCCAGGAAGCUUUCCCUCUUGCACCAACACUCGCUCUCAUCAUCGAGAAACUUGAGCACGACACGAAAGACGAGAACGAGGGGCAGGCAUCGGAGCGCGAUGAGGACGACUUGGCUCUUUUGAGUUCAAUAUCCAAAUGCAUGGAGGAUCACAAGCUAUCUCCCUCAGAAUUCACUACCUUUGCUGCCAAGAUUGCGCUGCUGGAAGAGCGUGUUGGGAAGGCAAGACGACAAGCCUGUAGUACAGGAGCUAAGCGGAAGAGACCAGAGGAGUGUGUCGAGUAGAAUGCUCCCUGAAGCGAAGUUCAGUUUCACUGUCACGUAGAAUUUUCCUCACAAAAUAGUUGUAACUCUCCAGAUUGUAUGCAGACUAACCUUCACAUGUUCCAGUCUUACAGACAUGUACUACCUCUCUCGAAUAUUUGUCACCCGCUAGUUUAUUUUUAAAUAAACUAAACCGUGACAAAUAAAAAAGAACGGAUAGAGUAGGAAGUAUUUCUGAUAUAUAUAUCCUGAACUCAAACAACAAGGAUACAUCAUGUGGAUUUCUGAAC